GACGAACGCUGGCGGCGUGCUUAACACAUGCAAGUCGAACGGAAAGGCCCUGCUUUUGUGGGGUGCUCGAGUGGCGAACGGGUGAGUAACACGUGAGUAACCUGCCCUUGACUUUGGGAUAACUUCAGGAAACUGGGGCUAAUACCGGAUAGGAGCUCCUGCUGCAUGGUGGGGGUUGGAAAGUUUCGGCGGUUGGGGAUGGACUCGCGGCUUAUCAGCUUGUUGGUGGGGUAGUGGCUUACCAAGGCUUUGACGGGUAGCCGGGCUGAGAGGGUGACCGGCCACGUUAGGACUGAGAUACGGCCCAGACUCCAACGGGAGGCAGAGGUGGGGAGUGUUACACAGUGGGAGGGAGGCUGGUCCGACGACGCCGCGUGGGGGAAGACAGGCAUCGGGUUGUAAAGCGCUUUCGCCUGUGACGGGACGUGAAUGACGGUAAUGGGUAAAGAAGCACCGGCUAACUACGUG
This 468-nucleotide ribosomal RNA is filed under the name uncultured bacterium. RNAcentral describes it as "partial 16S ribosomal RNA". It matches the Rfam family "Bacterial small subunit ribosomal RNA", at positions 28 to 507 of the family's 1533-position model. The record is from RNAcentral.